GCUUCCAUUUUCAGACACUAUCUACAUAUUUCGGAGGGCUUUAGAAGAGUCAUAUUGGGCACUUCUUCUCAGUUUUGCGAAUUUUCUACAAGAGGUCUCUAUAAUUUCAUAAAAGAAGGGACUUUAGAUGCAGAGUAGGUUGGUAAGGCUUAUGCAUGUGAUGGUGAAUGCAAAAUAAGGAGAAUGCAACCUUGGAAACCCAGAUAUCUCAAACUCAGAUUUUCAGUCUUCCACCCCUUCUAAAAAACAUUUAUUUUGAUCCA
Molecule: long non-coding RNA, 263 nt
Organism: Juglans regia (Persian walnut)
Lineage: Eukaryota; Viridiplantae; Streptophyta; Magnoliopsida; Fagales; Juglandaceae
Exons: 4
Source: RefSeq, a predicted model, not a curated record